This 471-nucleotide ribosomal RNA is filed under the name uncultured organism. Its description in RNAcentral is "partial 16S ribosomal RNA". It matches the Rfam family "Bacterial small subunit ribosomal RNA", at positions 335 to 797 of the family's 1533-position model. The record is from RNAcentral.
ACUCCUACGGGAGGCAGCAGUGGGGAAUUUUGGACAAUGGGCGAAAGCCUGAUCCAGCAAUGCCGCGUGAGUGAAGAAGGCCUUCGGGUUGUAAAGCUCUUUUGUCAGGGAAGAAACGGUGAGAGCUAAUAUCUCUUGCUAAUGACGGUACCUGAAGAAUAAGCACCGGCUAACUACGUGCCAGCAGCCGCGGUAAUACGUAGGGUGCAAGCGUUAAUCGGAAUUACUGGGCGUAAAGCGUGCGCAGGCGGUUUUGUAAGUCUGAUGUGAAAUCCCCGGGCUCAACCUGGGAAUUGCAUUGGAGACUGCAAGGCUAGAAUCUGGCAGAGGGGGGUAGAAUUCCACGUGUAGCAGUGAAAUGCGUAGAUAUGUGGAGGAACACCGAUGGCGAAGGCAGCCCCCUGGGUCAAGAUUGACGCUCAUGCACGAAAGCGUGGGGAGCAAACAGGAUUAGAAACCCGUGUAGUCCCA